GACGGAGGAUGCAAGUGUUAUCCGGAAUCACUGGGCGUAAAGCGUCUGUAGGUGGUUUAAUAAGUCAACUGUUAAAUCUUGAGGCUCAACUUCAAAAUCGCAGUCGAAACUAUUAAACUAGAGUAUAGUAGGGGUAAAGGGAAUUUCCAGUGGAGCGGUGAAAUGCGUAGAGAUCGGGAGGAACAUCAGUGGCGAAGGCGGCCAUCUGGGACAACACUGACGCUGAGGCACGAAAGCGUGGGGAGCAAACAGG
Molecule: ribosomal RNA, 253 nt
Filed under: uncultured bacterium
Lineage: Bacteria
Description: partial 16S ribosomal RNA
Rfam family: Bacterial small subunit ribosomal RNA
Source: RNAcentral